RNAcentral lists this ribosomal RNA (590 nucleotides) under uncultured bacterium. RNAcentral's name for it is "bacterial SSU rRNA". It matches the Rfam family "Bacterial small subunit ribosomal RNA", at positions 366 to 953 of the family's 1533-position model. The record is from RNAcentral.
GGACAAUGGGCGCACUGANUGCCAGCCAUGCCGCGUGCAGGAUGAAGGCCUUCGGGUUGUAAACUGCUUUUGUACGGAACGAAAAGGUGCCUUCUAAUAAAGGGCGCUCAUGACGGUACCGUAAGAAUAAGCACCGGCUAACUACGUGCCAGCAGCCGCGGUAAUACGUAGGGUGCGAGCSUUAAUCGGAAUUACUGGGCGUAAAGCGUGCGCAGGCGGUUUUGUAAGACAGAGGUGAAAUCCCCGGGCUCAACCUGGGAACUGCCUUUGUGACUGCAAGGCUGGAGUGCGGCAGAGGGGGAUGGAAUUCCGCGUGUAGCAGUGAAAUGCGUAGAUAUGCGGAGGAACACCGAUGGCGAAGGCAAUCCCCUGGGCCUGCACUGACGCUCAUGCACGAAAGCGUGGGGAGCAAACAGGAUUAGAUACCCUGGUAGUCCACGCCCUAAACGAUGUCAACUGGUUGUUGGGUCUUAAUUGACUCAGUAACGAAGCUAACGCGUGAAGUUGACCGCCUGGGGAGUACGGCCGCAAGUUGAAACUCAAAGGAAUUGACGGGGACCGCACAAGCGUGGAUGAUGUGGUUUAAUUCG